GAAUGGGGGAGGUGUCCCAUCAGCCUGGAUUGUGAGAGGGCACAGGCCAGGCUGAGGGGACUCCCAUUGGUGA
Molecule: microRNA precursor, 73 nt
Filed under: Myotis davidii
Lineage: Eukaryota; Metazoa; Chordata; Mammalia; Chiroptera; Vespertilionidae
Description: mir-9193 microRNA precursor family
Rfam family: mir-9193 microRNA precursor family
Source: Rfam by way of RNAcentral